UUAAUUUAAAAAUACAUUAAAAGGGAAUCAAGUAAAUUCUUGAGCUGUACCCGCAACUGUAAGCUAAGUUCUAAAAAGAAUGCUUGCUGUUAACUACAAACCACUGUCGUGCCCCGCGCGAUGGGAAGGUAAACAGCAAGACGCGAGCCAGGAGACCUGCCUUUUGUAA
RNAcentral lists this non-coding RNA (169 nucleotides) under uncultured Flavobacterium sp. The record is from RNAcentral. Lineage: Bacteria; Pseudomonadati; Bacteroidota; Flavobacteriia; Flavobacteriales; Flavobacteriaceae.